This 497-nucleotide ribosomal RNA is filed under the name uncultured bacterium. RNAcentral describes it as "partial 16S ribosomal RNA". It matches the Rfam family "Bacterial small subunit ribosomal RNA", at positions 28 to 507 of the family's 1533-position model. The record is from RNAcentral.
GAUGAACGCUGGCGGCGUGCCUAAUACAUGCAAGUCGAGCGAACGGACGAGAAGCUUGCUUCUCUGAUGUUAGCGGCGGACGGGUGAGUAACACGUGGAUAACCUACCUAUAAGACUGGGAUAACUUCGGAAAACCGGAGCUAAUACCGGAUAAUAUUUUGAACCGCAUGGUUCAAAAGUGGAAGACGGUCUUGCUGUCACUUAUAGAUGGAUCCGCGCUGCAUUAGCUAGUUGGUAAGGUAACGGCUUACCAAGGCAACGAUGCAUAGCCGACCUGAGAGGGUGAUCGGCCACACUGGAACUGAGACACGGUCCAGACUCCUACGGGAGGCAGCAGUAGGGAAUCUUCCGCAAUGGGCGAAAGCCUGACGGAGCAACGCCGCGUGAGUGAUGAAGGUCUUCGGAUCGUAAAACUCUGUUAUUAGGGAAGAACAUAUGUGUAAGUAACUGUGCACAUCUUGACGGUACCUAAUCAGAAAGCCACGGCUAACUACGUG